AUGAUUCUCCUUUCUGGCAUUCUGAUUUCUGCCUUAGCAUAUGCAACAUAUGCAGAUGAAAUUAAACCAGUCAAAACAGAGGAGUUUGCUGACGAGGGUUCAAAUGUUACUUUAUCCUGCAUUUAUUCAUCUGCAUAUUAUCUUUACUGGUACCGUCAGUAUCCUGGAUCAGCUCCUCAGCAUAUUGUGCUUAUUCCAGACAGUAAAAAAGAUGAUAUGAAGUCUGAUGUAGAUCCCAGAUUUACAGCCAGAGUCACUAAAGAUAAAGAAAAGCGUGUGGAUCUGCUGCUCUCGUCUGCUGCAGUAUCAGACUCUGCUGUGUAUUACUGCGCUCUGCAGCCCACAGUGACAGGAAACACAGCAGCACUAAACAAAAACCUGACACACAAGAUCAACUAUGUGUAG
Molecule: non-coding RNA, 405 nt
Organism: Danio aesculapii
Lineage: Eukaryota; Metazoa; Chordata; Actinopteri; Cypriniformes; Danionidae
Source: the annotation of a RefSeq genome assembly